This 497-nucleotide ribosomal RNA is filed under the name uncultured bacterium. RNAcentral's name for it is "partial 16S ribosomal RNA". It matches the Rfam family "Bacterial small subunit ribosomal RNA", at positions 28 to 507 of the family's 1533-position model. The record is from RNAcentral.
GAUGAACGCUGGCGGCGUGCCUAAUACAUGCAUGUCGAGCGAACAGACGAGGAGCUUGCUCCUCUGACGUUAGCGGCGGACGGGUGAGUAACACGUGGAUAACCUACCUAUAAGACUGGGAUAACUUCGGGAAACCGGAGCUAAUACCGGAUAAUAUAUUGAACCGCAUGGUUCAAUAGUGAAAGACGGUUUUGCUGUCACUUAUAGAUGGAUCCGCGCCGCAUUAGCUAGUUGGUAAGGUAACGGCUUACCAAGGCAACGAUGCGUAGCCGACCUGAGAGGGUGAUCGGCCACACUGGAACUGAGACACGGUCCAAACUCCUACGGGAGGCAGCAGUAGGGAAUCUUCCGCAAUGGGCGAAAGCUUGACGGAGCAACGCCGCGUGAGUGAUGAAGGUCUUCGGAUCGUAAAACUCUGUUAUUAGGGAAGAACAAAUGUGUAAGUAACUAUGCACGUCUUGACGGUACCUAAUCAGAAAGCCACGGCUAACUACGUG